Non-coding RNA from Notechis scutatus (mainland tiger snake), 99 nucleotides. The record is from RefSeq and is a predicted model, not a curated record. Lineage: Eukaryota; Metazoa; Chordata; Lepidosauria; Squamata; Elapidae.
GUAAAACAUUGCCCCAGCAUAUAUUGAAAGCGCUAUCCUAUAUCCAAGGUAUGCUUUUCUCAGAAGCAAUGUAGCAGAGUUCUGCAUGCAAUGUAGCAA